This 34-nucleotide ribosomal RNA is filed under the name Angiostrongylus cantonensis (rat lungworm). RNAcentral describes it as "partial 18S ribosomal RNA". The record is from RNAcentral. Lineage: Eukaryota; Metazoa; Nematoda; Chromadorea; Rhabditida; Metastrongylidae.
AAGGUAUCUGUAGGUGAACCUGCAGAUGGAUCAU